Molecule: long non-coding RNA, 1995 nt
Organism: Dromaius novaehollandiae (emu)
Lineage: Eukaryota; Metazoa; Chordata; Aves; Casuariiformes; Dromaiidae
Exons: 2
Source: RefSeq, a predicted model, not a curated record
UGAGAUAAACUCUAGGUGUUUCAAACUGGAGCUUAGAGAUGAGCAGAAAGAGGGGGAGAGCUAUUUGGAGUAUAACUCUACCCUAGAGGAAAAAAGCUAGGACUCAAACUGUGAAAAAAUAUGCCUCACUCAAAGUCUGUUUGAUGAAAAGCCUGUUACUAGAGCGUGUUGAAUUUAGGAGGCUGCUUGCUAUGCCAGAGGACAGUAAUCUUCAGCUAAGAACACCACUGCAGAGAAAAUAGAGAUGAAUCGUCACUGUGGGCUGGAGCUGAUCUAAAGUGUAGAGAUAGACAAAAAAUGUCCUUCUCUGAUGUCAACUGGCUGCCUCAGCAGUUGUGGGAGAGCGUGAGCUGUCCUGUAUGAGAGCUGCUGCUGCAGCAGAGGCAAUGGCAGAAGAAGGGGAUCAUCGGGAGAGCUGCUCUGCCCAGCGGCUACCCUCACCCUAAGCUGCCCUGCUUUGAAGAAGAGCUCCCGGGAAAAGGUGCACAACUUGAGAAAAGUCAGAAUAAAAGAUUUCUCUCCUCUGAUGCACAAGCGUAUAUUUUCUUCUCACGUCUGACAUAGGAACUUGAAUGAGAAUUUUAGAGGCAUCACUUAGGAGAAAACUUGCUAUGGUGCUGUCUGCCCCCUCUUUGAAAAGAGCUGCAGAGUUUCCAGGUGUUACUGGACUGCUGGUCGCUCCCAGGGGUUCAGAUUGCCCAGAGGGAUCUUGUUUCCGGUUUGCAACAUUGUGACUAUUAUUACUGAAGUGUGAACUCACAGAUAUUCUUAAGCCGAUCUUAAUGAAGAUUGAAUUUCCAUUAUGUGCUCUACAGAAGAUACCCACACAGUAAGCCUAUGGGACUUUUGUUAUUUAGUGAAAUGUUGUAUAACUGCAGGCUAAGCCAUAAUAGCUGCAGUUGAAUAUGAAAAUGAACGUGUUUAUGUAUUAAAAUAGUCCUGGUAAAGAACCAGUACAAUUAAAAUAUUGCCAGUGCACCAUUAAAGUUGUUUGCCAUUGGAUCUGGAUAGGUACAGCAAUAUUUUUGUAUCACAUGACUAAAAGAUAUCUAAUUAUGGGUAAAUCAUCAACUGCUGUGUUGCUAAAGCAGAACAAGGUUAAAGCACAACAGCUUAAACAAGGAAAAUGUUCCGUUAAUUGUGGAACUGUUUUAAUCCUGCAGUGUACUAGACUCUACUUUAGUAGAGUAUAUGGAGUUUGAUUAUUCACUGGCUUUUUUUUUUUCACUAGAAUUCCUUUAAUAUUCUUUAUCCACAUUGGCAUUUUCAAAUUAAUUUUUCAAUAUUGCACUCAUCUAACUGUCCUCUGAACUGAAAAGUAAAAUAGUCAGAGUUGUGCUGAUACUUGGUUUACAAGAUUUCAGUCUACCUAAAGUGGCAUAAAACCCCACAGUUUAGUUUAAUAUUUGUUCAUUUCUCUGAUUUAAAUGACACCAACAUUCUAAAUGCAUUGUAGUGUUUAUACACAUGCAUUCACAAACAUGUUUUAUUUAGUUUCUAUACAGGAGAAAACCCUAGACAUGCAAAAACACUGAAUGAAGGAAGUAGGAUUUUUUUAACUAACAUAUUUACCUGUUUCAGAAAAGCUCAAAAUGUGUGCAAAUACAAAUCUUGAUUCCAUACUACCUGGAACAUAAUUCCUUUAGUACAAAUAAUCAAUAAUAAGUUUGCAGGCAUUGGUUUCACAAAGCUUUCUUUGAAAAAAUACAUUUUAACAUGCUAACAUUAGGAUACAGUCUUCAAAAUAGAGAUGAAAAAUGUCUUUGCUGCCUUUGAGACCAAUUGAAUUGUGAGUUUAAAUGGACAUAAAUCUGUUAUUAGCAAUACAGAUUUUCACUGCAAAAAGCAGGUUCAUUUGAAAUGUAUAAAAUCUCCAUUUACACCUGAUAGGAAACAUUGUAACUUUUUCUUACAUAGUGUUGGAGAAGUGUGAAUUUUCAAGACUUAUAUUUCAUGACUGGUAAUUAUUAAUAAAUAUUUAAGCAAGUUUGGAUA